Jaculus jaculus (lesser Egyptian jerboa) is the source of this 166-nucleotide small nuclear RNA. Its record names the gene U1. It matches the Rfam family "U1 spliceosomal RNA". Rfam says of the family: U1 is a small nuclear RNA (snRNA) component of the spliceosome (involved in pre-mRNA splicing). Its 5' end forms complementary base pairs with the 5' splice junction, thus defining the 5' donor site of an intron. The record is from Ensembl. Lineage: Eukaryota; Metazoa; Chordata; Mammalia; Rodentia; Dipodidae.
AUACUUAACUGGUUGGGGGAGGAUAACAUGAUCCUGAAGGUAGUUUUCCCAGGGCUAGGCUUAUCCACUGCACUCCAGAUGUGCUGACCCCUGUGAUUACCCCAAGUGCAGAAAACUUGACUGCAUAAUUUGUGGUACUGGGGGACUGUGUUUGCACUCUCCCCUG